This is a long non-coding RNA of Gasterosteus aculeatus aculeatus (three-spined stickleback), 4868 nucleotides long. Lineage: Eukaryota; Metazoa; Chordata; Actinopteri; Perciformes; Gasterosteidae. The record is from Ensembl.
UUUGACAAGAGUUAGGAAGCUGAUCGAGAUUUUUAGUUCGUCAACGCAAUAUUGCAAAUGCAAUAGUGUAAUGACUGUUUUUUUGAUAUUAUGGAACAAACGUCCCCCUGGAACGAUGAACUAGUUCAAUUUUGGUGGUUAAUGGUCAGUGUGACAUCAUAUGCGUUCCAUUUUGGUGAACCCGAUGUUUCCAACUUCCACACUAUGACUAAAACGAUAAGUGUAUGCUGUAACCAUAUGCUAAUUAUCUUAAUCUCAACACGUUUUGGGAAAAAAAACAAGAUUUUGGACGGACAUGGAUGUGAAAUCCAGUUCAACUGGUUACACACAACAGCAAUUCGUUACUUUUAGCUUUCGUCGAAGCACCGAUGAGUAUGAUGAGCACCUGAUUAACGCUCUCACAGUCUGUUCCAACGGAGCCAAAUGGAAGCUUAGCGUCUCCCAUCUACUGUCACUGAUUACAUCAGCAAAAUUAAACAAUCUGUCAUGUAUAGCACGAACCGUCUUAGCUUUGAUGGAAUAAUAAAUACUAUGUACGCAAGAAAACGGUGACAGCUCUUCACGGCUUCGUUCUGUUCAUCCGUACAUUGAGGCUCUGGCAUGAGUUGACACGCUGCGGGCAGAUGGAGCUGACGUGACAUCACCAGCUACAGGACGGGCCGAUGAAGAAGCAGGUACACUGACGGGCACAUGGUGCAUGCGGGAGGGAAAGGGGAUGUUCCAUGGAGAACGUUUCAAUGAAAACAACAAGAAAGGAAAGAAAGGAGGGAACAAUUAAUACACCUCAGAUGCUUAAUCUCAAGGUUCCCAAUCGGCUUUAUUCAAUCUUUAUCCAAUCAACGGCAUUAUUUCUGGAAAUGCUGAGUUUGAAGGACGCACGUUCGGACUCGUGACGACCAAAAACAAAAAUUUUAAGAAGAUAAUUGCUAGAGAGGCAACGAACGAGGGGUAGACGCAUGUUUUGAGGGGCCAAGAGUGAAGAAUGAUAAAAGCUCAUUAGCAAAACGGCUCCUCUCUCACCUCCCGCUGUUACACGUGGACACGUGUUUGUGUCUCUGUGUGUGUGUUUGUGUCUGUGUCCACAGGCUUUCAGUCAAAAGGACAAAGAGCCUUGUCAAGUAAACAUGCAGCCAGUCAAGCAAACAGUUGAGGUCAUGCACACACACACACACACACACAGUAUAUGUUUAGAUGCGUGUAUUGUGUGAGGGCACCGAUGCCGUUUCCAAGUCAUUUAACACUAGAUGGUGUUGGACUGGCCAAUGAUUACCAUUCUGUCUGAAAUACAAACAGACACAGAGAGACAGGGAGUGUGUGUGUGUGUGUGUGUGUGUGUGUGUGUGUGUGUGUGUGCGUGUGGGGGGCACAGGUAACGGCCAUCAGAGGCAGCAAGCACUCAAACAGCACAGUGCACUCAGAAAGUGAGCGUUGUGCUUUAUUAGUACUUUUAAAGAGGUUUCUCACUUUUUUUAAAAACAUUUUCGGCAAAGGUCUUCAAUGCAAAGGUCUUCAAUGCAAAAGUCUUCAAUGCAAAGGUCUUCAAUGCAAAAGGUCUUCAAUGCAAUGGUCUUCAAUGCAAAAGUCUUCAAUGCAAAGGUCUUCAAUGCAAAGGUCUUCAAUGCAAAGGUCUUCAAUGCAAAGGUCUUCAAUGCAAAGGUCUCCAAUGCAAAGGUAUUCAAUGCAAAGGUCUUCAAUGCAAAGGUCUUCAAUGCAAAGGUCUUCAAUGCAAAGGUCUUCAAUGCAAAGGUAUUCAAGGCAAAGGUCUUCAAUGCAAAAGGUCUUCAAUGCAAAAGGUAUUCAAUGCAAAAGGUCUUCAAUGCAAAUGUCUUCAAUGCAAUGGUCUUCAAUGCAAAAGUCUUCAAUGCAAAGGUCUUCAAUGCAAAGGUCUCCAACGUGACUUCUGCAGUUGAAUGUGCCCGAUUGUCCACAUACAUGUCCAAACUUUAGUGGAACUUGGGGGGGAUUGGAUAGUGAAUAUGUUAUGUGUUCGGCCAUGGCGGCGGAUGAAUGCAUUGCAUCGGCCCCCGGCCCCUCGGGCCCCUCGGGCCCCCGGGCCCCCGGGCACCGAUAGGUAGACGGAGAUCUUUGUGUAAAACUCAACAGAGCUAUGGGAGGAACCCAGGACUAUAUCCCACAUAGAGAGUGGUGACCUAGUGAAAGCGAUACAACAUAAUGUCGUAAAAAAAACGACGACAACAUCCCAAAUGACCAAGAGAAUAAAGUCAAAGUUUUUCUAUAUUAACUCUCUCUCAAAGGUAUAUUCGUACAGCUUUUCCUACAAAUAAAACCAGGGUAUCUAUUGCAUCCCCCAAGAUUCGAUGUGUCUGUUUAAUGCACAAUUUAGUACGAACAGCGAUCAGACUUUCAUUGAUAGUUGAGGGAAGCAUUUAACUCAUUGGGGUUGAACAUUCUCUCAAGUUAUUGGAGGACUAUCUUUCCUGUUUGUAAUGUCAGAAGAAACUCCAGAACUAUGCAUGUUAUGUACAUUUCUGAUCUAUUGAUCUACUGUUUUCAGUAAAUUGUAUAAAACUACACAUUUGGCGUCGCUGUGUAAAAAGUGUUUGUCCACCUCAGGGCAAAAAACAAAACGCUGUUCUGUCUCCCUUCCCUUCUUCUCUGCUGACAAUGACUCCUGUCGGCCCCGUGUCUUUCCCGGGAGCUGUCAGGGGGAGUAUUCAGCAUGCUUACCGAAGCACACAAAUGACACCUUUUAAGGCUGUGAGCUGUGUGUGUGUGUGUGUUUGUGUUAAAUGUAAGUGCACCAACGGUUUCACAAAGUGCAAAUUCCAUUUUUGUUGCGACGCUCUGGAGAGAAUAUCGUUUUCACUUCAUUAGCUCUGUAUGUGUGUAUCUGUGUGGAUGUGUGUGGAGAAAAAGAUGAGAUGGUGCCUCUAUCAAUCUGUGUGUGUGUGUGUGUGUGUGUGUUUGUGUUUGUGUUUGAGGGAACACACAGCUUGUUUGGUCGCUUCAUUUGUCUUCUCUAACAUGAUUACAAAUACUUAACUAUUAACUAUGAUAUGGGAUUUUAACUUAGAAUUCCCUUUUUUUUCAAUCCUUCUUUGCAAUUCUUCUUCAAAGAGGAUGUUUGUUAACUAUUGCCUCCCUACUAGAAAACUGCGAGCCUGGAAAAGGGCAUUGCAGGCAUUUUCUCUCUCUCAUUAUUUCUCUGUAAAUGUAUGAAAUAAAGGAUCAGUUAUUCGUUACCUGCUCAAUUGGAAUAUAAUGGGUCAUUUAAGGCAAUAACAUUUCUUUCGGGAUGCCCUUUGCCGCUGCAACCAUUUUAUUCAUCAAGUUAUCCAAGUAAAAUCCCGUAGUUGAGGCGUGCGAGGUUUUCAAACAAGUCUUCUUUUUCAUUCACAUUUUCUUAUCAUUUUAGUUGCUGGAUUUGCUGCAGACCAACUGUAUCCGUCCCAGAGUCAAUAUAUUAUGGAAGUAGCUACAUGUCAGCUUUGUUGGUUUGUUACAAUUACUUUUAUUUACAAAUUCACAGCUCUAAAAAUCCAAAAUGUGAAUUUACAACAUUUCCCGAAUACAUUUUAUAAAACAGCGCGUUUCAUGAAUCAACUGUAUUCCCAUUUGGAAGAUGGUAAAUGCAAUAGUUUAGACCCUGGGGGAUUUAGACCUCUAGUCACGCUAUGGAGCUGUCUGUGAGACAGUUUCUACGCUGAUCUAUAGUUUGAGAUCCCAUAACGUAACGUGCCUCUGCGAUGCUCUGCUUGAAAGACACAGAAGGUGUGUUUCUUAAGGGUUUAGGAUGAGGAUGAAAGAGCAUUUGUUGGUUUGUUCUGGUACAACUACAGCAAAUAAACAUUACAAAUGUGGGUUAAGUGUUUGGGAUAUUUUACAUGUGGCCCUGCAUCUCAUUUUUCCCUUUCAAGAGGACCCAUUAGUUGACUGUAGCUCACUUUCUCCACAGCACAGCAGCCCGAGUGGCUCUUUAUCAUGAUUUCUCUUCGUCUUCGUGCAGGAUAUCCGAGAGGGAAUCUCAUCAUCUUUUCUCCACCGGAAGCAAAUCCAAAUACGCACAUACAUCGUGUGUUUUACACUACAAGGGGAUGCAAGUGGGCACGUCAUUAAAACUUAAUCAUGUUUUAUCAAUUGUUGGGGCACUUCAGUCGUCUUCUUGAGUCCAGCCUUUCACAUGUCAAAAAAUGUUGAUUUCCGAGUUAAAUAUUUACCAUAAAUGUGAGAUUAAUGAGUUAGUUGUGGAAUAUAAUGCUUUUUCGCUUGAUAGAUUUCUGUUAAGAAGAACAUUACGUUAACCUAAAACUAAGUUAUUGAGUUGAAUUGUUCUCUGAUUCGACAUUUCUCCUUUGUGAUCUCUCUUAAUCUUCUUCAUAAUAAAAAGUAAUACAAGCAGUCAAUAAGUGUUUUUUUUUAUGUUACGCCAACUUAAAAUAGAAGUAAUGAAAUAGACAGCGCAGACGUUGUGAUCCGCUUCACAGCACAAAUUGAUUAAACAUCGAAUUGACAUUUUCCACGGCUCCGCACUUUGUGUUAUUAUGAUGUGAAAGCAGGUCAUUCGCUUGCAGUAACAAUAUUGAAGUCAGAUAAAUAAUUAAAAAGUUGGACACAAACUUUGAUGCACUGCAGCUUCUACCAGAGACAGAUGCGUAAUUACAGAGAGACACUGUAAAGCCUUUACAACAGCCAUGAGACAACCAAGCAGAAAAUGACCGGUCGCAGGAGCAAGACGCAAUAGACGAGUGCACAGUUGGCGCGGCUGCUGGAUUUCAGUGCUGGGCUUCUUGUGCACAAGCGUGAUCGUUUGUGGCGACCGUUCAUUUUUUUUAUCUUGUUGGUAAUCUUGUAAGUGUGGUUUUGGACACGCUUGAGAAUCGCGGGAUGGCCCAUUCAAAGGACAAUCU